AGGUUCCGUAAGGAUUCAUAGGGAAGUCGGUGCAAAUCCGACACGGUCCCGCCGCUGUAUCAAGGAGUGCAGCUGCAUAUAGUCACUGGGCAUCCCCCGGGAAGACGCACGAUGAUUUGGAGUCAGAAGACCUGCCUGUUCA
This 142-nucleotide non-coding RNA is filed under the name Centipeda artemidis. The record is from RNAcentral. Lineage: Bacteria; Bacillati; Bacillota; Negativicutes; Selenomonadales; Selenomonadaceae.